Molecule: ribosomal RNA, 541 nt
Filed under: Clavispora lusitaniae
Lineage: Eukaryota; Fungi; Ascomycota; Pichiomycetes; Serinales; Metschnikowiaceae
Description: eukaryotic LSU rRNA
Rfam family: Eukaryotic large subunit ribosomal RNA
Source: RNAcentral
CAGGGAUUGCCCCAGUAACGGCGAGUGAAGCGGCAAAAGCUCAAAUUUGAAAUCCUGCGGGAAUUGUAAUUUGAAGGUUUCGUGGUCUGAGUCGGCCGCGCCCAAGUCCAUUGGAACAUGGCGCCUGGGAGGGUGAGAGCCCCGUAUGGCGCACGCCGACUCUUUGCACCGCGGCUCCGACGAGUCGAGUUGUUUGGGAAUGCAGCUCUAAGUGGGUGGUAAAUUCCAUCUAAAGCUAAAUAUUGGCGAGAGACCGAUAGCGAACAAGUACAGUGAUGGAAAGAUGAAAAGCACUUUGAAAAGAGAGUGAAACAGCACGUGAAAUUGUUGAAAGGGAAGGGCUUGCAAGCAGACACGGUUUUACCGGGCCAGCGUCGAAAAGGGGGGAGGAACAAGAACUCGAGAAUGUGGCGCGCACCUUCGGGCGCGCGUGUUAUAGCUCGUGUUGACGCCUCCAUCCCUUUUCGAGGCCUGCGAUUCUAGGACGCUGGCGUAAUGGUUGCAAGCCGCCCGUCUUGAAACACGGACCUCCUGUGUGAAG